GUAAGGAAUAUUGGGCAAUGGACGAAAGUCUGACCCAGCCAUGCCGCGUGAAGGAUGAAGGUCCUCUGGAUUGUAAACUUCUUUUAUCUGGGGCGAAAAUCACCCUUUCUAGGGUGCUUGACAGUACCAGAAGAAUAAGCACCGGCUAACUCCGUGCCAGCAGCCGCGGUAAUACGGAGGGUGCAAGCGUUAUCCGGAUUCACUGGGUUUAAAGGGUGCGUAGGCGGGCAGGUAAGUCAGUGGUGAAAUCCCCGAGCUUAACUCGGGAACUGCCGUUGAUACUAUCUGUCUUGAAUACCGUGGAGGUGAGCGGAAUAUGUCAUGUAGCGGUGAAAUGCUUAGAUAUGACAUAGAACACCAAUUGCGAAGGCAGCUCGCUACACGGUUAUUGACGCUGAGGCACGAAAGCGUGGGGAUCAAACAGGAUUAGAAACCCGGGUAGUCC
This 445-nucleotide ribosomal RNA is filed under the name uncultured bacterium. RNAcentral's name for it is "bacterial SSU rRNA". It matches the Rfam family "Bacterial small subunit ribosomal RNA", at positions 354 to 796 of the family's 1533-position model. The record is from RNAcentral.